UCUUUAGGAGGAUCUAAACAACUGCUAGUGACCUAGGAACUGCCUGAACUGUUAGACUUCUUCAGUAGUUGGAUCUGGGGUGGAACUGCUUUCCCACUGCAAAGGACAAUACUGAGGUGUAUCUACCAAUAAGAGUGUAAACAACAGAAGUUUGACUGUUUUUAUAACCACUGGGACACCUGACUAUGAAAUGUAUAUUCUGGGCUAAAAUAAGACCCUGAUCCUGCAGUCUCCUACAUAAAAAAAUGAUGCAUUUCUUUAUUGGGAAAAGAAAAUGCCCAUGAAGGAUGACUUGUAUUUUCUCAGGAGGGUGAUGUCACUUGUGCGAACAGGCUCCUGCCAUUUCCAUAUCAUCACUGGAAGCUGAGGCCGUAUUUCUGCUGGGGGACCAUGUAAAGCAAGACAUUGCAGCACGUACUGCCCAGCUGGACCUGGGUGGUGGCCCCCUGCAGCCCACUGAUUCGCCCAUGCUGAUAUAUAAGCCAGGAAGUAAUCACAGAGAGCUGCCUGAGCAAUGAUGUAGACUGCUUGCUUGGGUCUGUUCCAGACCUUGACUUGUUGUGAACCCCAGACUCCAGCUUCUGAUCCCAGUUUGCCCCUGCCACCUGCCUGUAACUCAGUGCCAGAAUUCCUGGUAUUGUGACCCAGCUCAACGCUGACUCUGGUGCUCAUAUCCUGACCACAACAUGGUAACUGACCCAUACACACAGGCCACCCACUACCCAGCCCUGACACAGAGGCCCAAAGUGGUGAAGUGACUAAUUCUGCCAUUGGUCACAGAAGCCCUACAACCUAAAAACAAAACCAGUGCAUUAUAAGAUGCAGUACAUGGCACAAACUCACUUGUAGCCAUAACCUAAAGUACUGUAUUAUUUCAGGCUUAUUGAAUAGUAACUUGAACUUGACUAAAUAGAAAACACAUUUUUCAUUUACAUCUCCAGCAUAAUUUAACAUUGUCAUUAACUUAUGUCUAAAUAUCACUGCAUCGGUACCAAUAAUGCUAAGUUAAUGAUAAUUCGUAUUUUAACAACUGUUAAAAUGUCAUGUUAUUUAAGUCUUGAAGCCAGGAAUUUGGUAUAUCUUCCUACUCCAUUAAGCAGCAAAUAUCUUUAAUGGACCAUUGUGAUAGUUGCUAUCCUAACUGCUACAUAGCAGCAUAUCUGCAGAUUAGACCUUUGCCUGGCAUAAGUUAUGUUGCUGCUCUUAGCAUUUGUUUAAUGAUUAUUUAAAUUAUAGGGCAUCUAAUACUGAGCAUAUUUCUUCUACAAUAAAUUACAUGAAGAUACAGUGUCUCAAAACUACUCCAUAAAGACUUCCAGAGGAAGAACUAUGGAAAUUAACUCUAGAAGCCAUAUGGGAUCAAACAGGACAUUGUUAUUGGAGAGCGUACAUUUCAGUGCAAAAGACUGAAAAAGUCUUAAUUCAGCUAUUUCACCUGAUUACAUGGCAAACUCCACUCCCUGAAGUCUUCAGACAAUCAAACUACAUUUUUUUAAAAUAAUUUUCUUUUAAAAAAUUCUUAUGUUUACUUGUCCAAAGAAUCUGAAAUUCA
This is a long non-coding RNA of Dermochelys coriacea (leatherback sea turtle), 1552 nucleotides long. RefSeq lists it as uncharacterized. The record is from RefSeq and is a predicted model, not a curated record. The transcript has 3 exons. NCBI's taxonomy places the organism in Eukaryota, Metazoa, Chordata, Testudines, Dermochelyidae.